GCCCCUUUAGCUCAGUGGUAGAGCGUUCCACUCGUACCAAACUGAAUCUAUUAAAUGAUGAAGUUGAAUAUGGAAAGGUCUGGUGUUCAAUCCACCAAAAGGGCA
This is a non-coding RNA of Melampsora americana, 105 nucleotides long. The record is from the annotation of a GenBank genome assembly. NCBI's taxonomy places the organism in Eukaryota, Fungi, Basidiomycota, Pucciniomycetes, Pucciniales, Melampsoraceae.